RNAcentral lists this ribosomal RNA (630 nucleotides) under soil fungal sp. DM2-366. RNAcentral describes it as "eukaryotic LSU rRNA". It matches the Rfam family "Eukaryotic large subunit ribosomal RNA", at positions 156 to 814 of the family's 3401-position model. The record is from RNAcentral. Lineage: Eukaryota; Fungi.
AGGAUGCUUUUGGCGCGGUGCCUUCUGAGUUCCCUGGAACGGGACGCCGGAGAGGGUGAGAGCCCCGUACAGUUGGACACCAAGCCUUUGUAAAGCUCCUUCGACGAGUCGAGUAGUUUGGGAAUGCUGCUCAAAAUGGGAGGUAAAUGCCUUCUAAAGCUAAAUACCGGCCAGAGACCGAUAGCGCACAAGUAGAGUGAUCGAAAGAUGAAAAGCACUUUGAAAAGAGGGUUAAACAGUACGUGAAAUUGUUGAAAGGGAAGCGCUCGUGACCAGACUUGCGCCCGGCGGAUCAUCCGGCCUUCUGGCCGGUGCACUCCGCCGGGCUCAGGCCAGCAUCGGUUUUCCUGGGGGGAUAAAAGUGGCGGGAACGUAGCUCCUCCGGGAGUGUUAUAGCCCGCCGCAGCAUACCCCCGGGGGGACCGAGGACCGCGCUUCGGCAAGGAUGCUGGCGUAAUGGUCACCAGCGACCCGUCUUGAAACACGGACCAAGGAGUCAAGCAUUAGGGCGAGUGUUUGGGUGUCAAACCCGCACGCGAAAUGAAAGUGAACGCAGGUGAGAGCUUCGGCGCAUCAUCGACCGAUCCUGAUGUUUUCGGAUGGAUUUGAGUAAGAGCCUUGCCGCUUGGA